CUCAGGAACGAACGCUGGCGGCAGGUCUUAGACAUGCAAGUCGAACGGGUGUAGCAAUACAUCAGUGGCGCACGAGUGAGUAACGCGUGGGAAGCUACCCAGUCACUGGGGAAUAACGUUUGGAAACGAACGCUAAUACCGCAUACGCCCGAAAGGGGAAAGAUUUAUCGGUGAUGGAUGUGCCCGCGUUGGAUUAGCUUGUUGGUGGGGUAACGGCCUACCAAGGCGAUGAUCCAUAGCUGGUCUGAGAGGACGAUCAGCCACGCUGGGACUGAGACACGGCCCAGACUCCUACGGGAGGCAGCAGCUAAGAAUAUUGGACAAUGGGGGAAACCCUGAUCCAACGCCAUGCCGCGUGAAUGAAGAAGGCCUUCGGGUUGUAAAGUUCUUUUAGUAGUGAAGAUGAUGACAGUAGCUACAGAAAAAGCACCGGCUAACUUCGUGCCAGCCGCCGC
This 455-nucleotide ribosomal RNA is filed under the name uncultured bacterium. RNAcentral's name for it is "bacterial SSU rRNA". It matches the Rfam family "Bacterial small subunit ribosomal RNA", at positions 27 to 518 of the family's 1533-position model. The record is from RNAcentral.